GGGCCUUCAUGUUACUCUAUUUUGGAUUUUAUAUUGAAGGCGAUGGAGGAGCCAUUAAAGGACCUAACUAGAGGAUUUUCUCAUGCUUUUCUUCAUGUUAUUACUAAUUCAGCAAUUUAUUCCUUAAAAGACACAUUUCUUGAGGGUAUUUUAGGCCAAUUGUGAAGUUCUCUUGGAUUUAGUACUUUCACAGGGUGAGAUGGAGAUUAAGAUGGUCAUCUGCAAGGAGGUUGUGUUGAAAGCCUAUCAGUAUCCAAUGUUUAAGCGGUUGCUGAUCUUAUAAACCAUAAACAACUAGUUUGUAGUAGUUGUAUUCUACAGCAGCUGUAUCAUAUUACAUACAAAUGCUUUCUUGCCAUUUCUUCUGCCAGGUCUUCCUGCCCAUGCAUCUUUAUCAGAGCAGGUACAGCACGAUGAGGCUUCCUGCCAACACUUUGCCAGUCCUGGAGAUACAGGUGGUGUUUAAUGAAACCUGGACCUUUCCUCUCCCCAACUCCUGUACGUUAUUUGCACGGCUUUUAAGAAGGAGUACAGGAGAAAAAUGGAAGGACAGCAAAAUCGUUACAAGAAUGAGAAGAGUUAGGAGAAUGAGCACUGAUACAGCACAGCGAAAAGUGGAGCGUAGGUGGAGAUGGAAGGGGAAAAGUGGCUUGUGCAGAGUGCCUUUCGUAUGUAUGCAGUUCUGGUCAUGGUAA
Molecule: long non-coding RNA, 695 nt
Filed under: Fukomys damarensis (Damara mole-rat)
Lineage: Eukaryota; Metazoa; Chordata; Mammalia; Rodentia; Bathyergidae
Description: lncRNA (ENSFDAG00000025894.1)
Source: RNAcentral